Molecule: ribosomal RNA, 304 nt
Filed under: uncultured bacterium
Lineage: Bacteria
Description: bacterial SSU rRNA
Rfam family: Bacterial small subunit ribosomal RNA
Source: RNAcentral
AGUGAAUAGAUACCCGGGUAGUCCACGCCGUAAACGAUGGCCACUAGGUGUGGGGGGUAUCGACCCCUCCGCGCCGACGCUAAACGCAUUAAAGUGGCCGCCUGGGGAGGUACGGCCGCAAGGCUAAAACUACAAAGGAAAUUGACGGGGGCCCGGCACAAGCAGCGGAGCGUGUGGUUUAAUUCGACGCAACGCGAAGAACCUUACCAGGGCUUGACAUGCUUCUUACAAUCCGGGAAACCGGGUGGCCUUCGGCGUGGAGCACAGGUGCUGCACGGCGUGUCGUCAGCUCGUGCCGUGAGGU